UUCCAGUUCGGUAGAAGGACAGGUUAUAGGAGGCAAUCCAGGAAAUCUCGAUGCAAAGCGACUGCUGUAGUCCGGGACUCCUUGCUGCGGUCCUUCUAUCAACGAUCCAUCGAUAUCCGGACUUUUCGAUAAUUUUUGCUACAAUGUCAUUGCACGGUGGUAAAUUUAUCAUUUAACUGAACAGAAAUCAAAUCAAAUCGACCUGUCUGCGCAUCAACGUCCGGAUUUUGCGUAAAUCGCCGUGUACAAGCGCAAAAUAAACAGCGCUCGGCGCACAGGAAAAGCGCAGCAUCAGCAUCGUUACCGCUCCUCGUGCGUCAAUCUCCGCGCCUCAUUGUCGAUAGAUUAAGGCAGAUUAGGCGAACCUACUUUCGGAUUACGCCGCCGUCUUUCUGUCUUAUGGAACCGUGAUGUAGAGUAUGGAGGGUACCCGAGGAACAUUGCAUCAAUUAUCAGCGACAUAUCGGUGAGUUUGUAGUUAAUUUUUCCCUGGGCGAGAAUUUAACAUCCAGAGAUGCCCGAGGUC
This is a long non-coding RNA of Linepithema humile (Argentine ant), 526 nucleotides long. RefSeq lists it as uncharacterized. Lineage: Eukaryota; Metazoa; Arthropoda; Insecta; Hymenoptera; Formicidae. The record is from RefSeq and is a predicted model, not a curated record.